This 762-nucleotide ribosomal RNA is filed under the name uncultured fungus. Its description in RNAcentral is "eukaryotic LSU rRNA". It matches the Rfam family "Eukaryotic large subunit ribosomal RNA", at positions 30 to 821 of the family's 3401-position model. Lineage: Eukaryota; Fungi. The record is from RNAcentral.
GAACUUAAGCAUAUCAAUAAGCGGAGGAAAAGAAACCAACAGGGAUUGCCUCAGUAACGGCGAGUGAAGCGGCAACAGCUCAAAUUUGAAAUCUGGCCGCAAGGUCCGAGUUGUAAUUUGUAGAGGAUGCUUUUGGCGAGGUGCCUUCCGAGUUCCCUGGAACGGGACGCCAUAGAGGGUGAGAGCCCCGUACGGUAGGACCACCAAGCCUCUGUAAAGCUCCUUCGACGAGUCGAGUAGUUUGGGAAUGCUGCUCUAAAUGGGAGGUGUACGUCUUCUAAAGCUAAAUACCGGCCAGAGACCGAUAGCGCACAAGUAGAGUGAUCGAAAGAUGAAAAGCACUUUGAAAAGAGGGUUAAAAAGUACGUGAAAUUGUUGAAAGGGAAGCAUUCAUGACCAGACUUGGGCUUGGUUGAACAUCCGGCGUUCUCGCCGGUGCACUCUGCCAGUCCAGGCCAGCAUCAGUUCGCCCCGGGGGAUAAAGGCGGCGGGAAUGUGGCUCCCUUCGGGGAGUGUUAUAGCCCGUCGUGUAAUGCCCUGGGGCGGACUGAGGAACGCGCUUCGGCACGGAUGCUGGCGUAAUGGUCAUCAAUGACCCGUCUUGAAACACGGACCAAGGAGUCGUCUUCGUAUGCGAGUGUUCGGGUGUCAAACCCCUACGCGUAAUGAAAGUGAACGUAGGUGAGAGCUUCGGCGCAUCACCGACCGAUCCUGAUGUUCUCGGAUGGAUUUGAGUAAGAGCAUACGGGGCCGGACCCGAAA